RNAcentral lists this ribosomal RNA (254 nucleotides) under uncultured bacterium. Its description in RNAcentral is "partial 16S ribosomal RNA". It matches the Rfam family "Bacterial small subunit ribosomal RNA", at positions 524 to 776 of the family's 1533-position model. The record is from RNAcentral.
UACGUAGGGUGCAAGCGUUAAUCGGAAUUACUGGGCGUAAAGCGUGCGCAGGCGGUUUUGUAAGUCAGAUGUGAAAUCCCCGGGCUUAACCUGGGAACUGCGUUUGAAACUACAAGGCUAGAGUGUGACAGAGGGGGGUGGAAUUCCACGUGUAGCAGUGAAAUGCGUAGAGAUGUGGAGGAACACCGAUGGCGAAGGCAGCCCCCUGGGUUAACACUGACGCUGACAGCGCGAAAGCUAGGGGAGCGAACGGG